CGGAGGGUGCGAGCGUUGUUCGGAAUCACUGGGCGUAAAGCGCGUGUAGGCGGCCCACUAAGUCUGAUGUGAAAGCCCGGGGCUCACCCCCUGAAGUGCAUUGGAAACUGGUGGACUCGAGUCCCGGAGAGGAGAGUGGAAUUCCUGGUGUAGCGGUGAAAUGCGUAGAUAUCAGGAGGAACACCGGUGGCGAAGGCGGCUCUCUGGACGGUGACUGACGCUGAGACGCGAAAGCGUGGGGAGCAAACAGGAUUAGAUACCCUGGUAGUCCACGCCGUAAACGAUGAGCACUAGGUGUCGCGGGUAUUGACCCCUGCGGUGCCGACGCUAACGCAUUAAGUGCUCCGCCUGGGGAAUACGGCCGCAAGGUUA
This 372-nucleotide ribosomal RNA is filed under the name uncultured organism. Its description in RNAcentral is "bacterial SSU rRNA". It matches the Rfam family "Bacterial small subunit ribosomal RNA", at positions 526 to 896 of the family's 1533-position model. The record is from RNAcentral.